Molecule: non-coding RNA, 191 nt
Organism: Citrus sinensis (sweet orange)
Lineage: Eukaryota; Viridiplantae; Streptophyta; Magnoliopsida; Sapindales; Rutaceae
Source: Rfam
UGAUUAAGCUGGGAGCUUUCUUCGGUCCACUUAUGGGUGGCAAUAGGAUUUAAUUAGCUGCUGACUCAUUCAUCCAAAUACUGAGUAAAGGGUCGAAAUGGAUACCCAGUAAAUGAGUGAAUGAUGCGGGAGACAAAUUGAAUCUUAAGCUUCCUGUGCUUGGACUGAAGGGAGCUCCCAUUGCUCGCUAA